This 406-nucleotide ribosomal RNA is filed under the name uncultured bacterium. Its description in RNAcentral is "partial 16S ribosomal RNA". It matches the Rfam family "Bacterial small subunit ribosomal RNA", at positions 28 to 526 of the family's 1533-position model. The record is from RNAcentral.
GACGAACGCUGGCGGCAGGCCUAACACAUGCAAGUCGAACGAGUGGCGGACGGGUGAGUAAUGUCUGGGAAACUGCCUGAUGGAGGGGGAUAACUACUGGAAACGGUAGCUAAUACCGCAUACCAUCAGCUCUGCCCCUAUGGGCUUAGCUUGUAGGUGGGGUAACGGCUCACCUAGGCGACGAUCCCUUGCUGGUCGGGGAGGAUGACCAGCCACGCUGGAACGUAGACACGGUCCAGACUCCUACGGGAGGCAGCAGUGGGGAAUAUUGCACAAUGGGCGCAAGCCUGAUGCAGCCAUGCCGCGUGUAUGAAGAAGGCCUUCGGGUUGUAAAGUACUUUCAGCGGGGAGGCGUUACCCGAAGAAGAAGCACCGGCUAACUCCGUGCCAGCAGCCGCGGUAAUAG